AAAUUUCCCAAGAAACACACGAAUCAAGACAGAGAGGACGCGCUGAAGGAUUGAGAGAGCGAGUAAAAGAAAGCGGAGAUGUCUGAUUACGAAGGAAGAUACGAAGGCAACGGAGAGGACGCAGACAACUAUGGCGGUGGCUCCUCUCCUCAACCUCGCGGUGGUAGCCAUGGCGGUCCCGAAGAUAAUAGCGACUCCAGGUCUAAGCAUGGUUCUCGUGAUUAUGAAAGAGCAUCUUCUAAAAGUAGGGAGGACAAAGAAAAGGGGCGUGAUAAGGAGAGGGACAGGGAUAGAGACCGUGAUCGGGAGAGAGUCAAAAGCAGUGAUAGGGAGAGAAGCAAGGACCGAGAUAGGGAUAGGGAAAGGGAUAGAGAUCUUGACCGGGAUCGUCAUCAUAGAGAUCGCCAGAGGGAUCGGGAUCGCAGUGAAAGAAGGGAACGAGGUAGGGAUAGAGAUGAUGAUGAUUAUUAUCGAAGUCGGGACUAUGAAAGACGAAGGGAUCACGACAAAGACAGAGAGGAUAGGCAUAGGCGUAGGUCUCGCUCCCGUUCAGGGGGUAGAUCUGAGCGCAGAUCUAGGUCACGUUCUCGCUCUCGCUCAAAGAGCAAAAGGAUUAGUGGUUUUGAUAUGGCACCUCCUGCUUCUGCAUUGUUACAUGGUGCUGCUGCUGCUGCUGCUGUUGCUGCUGUAGCAGGUCAGAUUCCUGGGACUAGCCCGACCAUUCCUGGAAUGUUUCCAAACAUGUUUCCUUUAGCAACUGGUCAGUUUGGAGCUCUUCCUGUCAUGCCAGUUCAGGCAAUGACUCAACAGGCAACAAGGCAUGCUCGGAGGGUGUAUGUUGGUGGCCUUUCUCCAACAGCAAAUGAACAGUCUGUUGCUACAUUUUUCAGUCAUGUCAUGGCUGCGAUUGGAGGAAACACUGCUGGUCCAGGAGAUGCUGUUGUCAAUGUCUACAUAAACCAUGAAAAGAAAUUUGCUUUUGUAGAGAUGAGAUCUGUUGAGGAGGCUAGUAAUGCAAUGGCUUUAGAUGGGAUUAUUUUUGAGGGUGCACCUGUUAAGGUGAGGAGACCUAGUGACUACAACCCAUCUCUUGCUGCAACACUUGGUCCGAGCCAGCCCAAUCCUAAUCUGAACCUAUCUGCCGUUGGGUUAACUCCAGGAUCUGCUGGUGGGCUUGAGGGUCCUGACCGCAUAUUUGUCGGCGGGCUUCCCUAUUACUUCACAGAGACCCAGAUCAGGGAGUUGUUAGAGACUUUUGGGCCACUUCGGGGUUUUGACCUUGUGAAAGACAGAGAAACGGGAAAUUCAAAAGGCUAUGCAUUUUGUGUUUACCAAGAUCUUUCAGUUACGGACAUAGCUUGUGCAGCUCUGAAUGGAAUUAAAAUGGGUGAUAAAACUCUCACUGUCAGGCGUGCUAACCAGGGCACCAACCAACCCAAGCCUGAGCAGGAGAACGUAUUAUUGCAUGCACAGCAGCAGAUUGCAUUGCAGAAGCUCAUGUUACAACCUGGUGUAGUGGCAACAAAGGUUGUGUGUCUAACUCAGGUGGUUUCUCCUGAUGAACUCAAAGACGAUGAUGAUUAUCAGGACAUUUUGGAAGACAUGAGAGAAGAAUGUGGAAAAUUCGCUUUUUUGUAGUCCCACAUUCUGCUUUAAAGAAUCAGGCCUAACAUGCACAGACAGAAGCCUCCAUAACCUUCUUCCAUGUUCACCGAAGAAUGUUUCUUUGUAUAUUAUUGAUAAAUCUUAUGCAUUUUGAAUUUUUAAUGUGAUUUGCAGGUACACUGGCAAAUCUCGUCAUCCCACGCCCAACACCGAAUGGUGAACCAUCACCCGGAGUUGGGAAGGUCUUUCUGGAGUAUGCAGACAUUGAUGGUGCGGCAAAAGCUCGUUCUGGGUUGAAUGGACGAAAAUUUGGUGGGAAUCAAGUUGUGGCCGUCUUUUAUCCAGAGAACAAGUUUGCCCAGGGGGACUACGAAGGCUAGUAGUAUGGUCUUAGAGUCUUCUUCCUGGUGUUGCUUUUGUACGACUUCAUGAUUAUGCUCAAUACUCGCUGAGGCACUUCAUGUUGAUGGAUAUGGAACAUAUUGCAGCCUAUGGUGUGCCCUUUUCUACCCCUUUAAUUUUUGCUGUUAAGUUAGGGUUUGCUACAGAUUUAACAUGAUACUAAAUUAGUUUAGAUUGCUUUGUCGAUGUUAAGUGGCACAGUAAAUACAAUUUGGAGUGUGAUUUUGUUGUAGUUCGUGCUGCUAUUUUUGUCGUC
This is an RNA transcript of Juglans regia (Persian walnut), 2263 nucleotides long. It is a transcript of the gene named splicing factor U2af large subunit B-like, with no coding region annotated. The transcript has 13 exons. Lineage: Eukaryota; Viridiplantae; Streptophyta; Magnoliopsida; Fagales; Juglandaceae. The record is from RefSeq and is a predicted model, not a curated record.